CAGUAGCCGCGGUAAUACGAAGGGGGCUAGCGUUGCUCGGAAUGACUGGGCGUAAAGGGCGCGCAGGCGGCUUUGUUUGUCAGAUGUGAAAGCCCCGGGCUUAACCUGGGAACUGCAUUUGGGACGGCGGAGCUAGAGAUCGGGAGAGGAGAGUGGAAUUCCCAGUGUAGAGGUGAAAUUCGUAGAUAUUGGGAAGAACACCGGUGGCGAAGGCGGCUCACUGGUCCAUUACUGACGCUGAGGUGCGAAAGCGUGGGGAGCAAACAGGAUUAGAUACCCCUGUAGUCCCUGUCUCUUAUAC
RNAcentral lists this ribosomal RNA (301 nucleotides) under uncultured bacterium. Its description in RNAcentral is "partial 16S ribosomal RNA". It matches the Rfam family "Bacterial small subunit ribosomal RNA", at positions 509 to 807 of the family's 1533-position model. The record is from RNAcentral.